UUAAUUGAAACCAAAAAGAGGUAUAUCACUGUUAAUGAUACCAAUGAGUUUAUUUCUCCAAUUAAA
Molecule: transfer RNA, 66 nt
Filed under: Olenecamptus bilobus
Lineage: Eukaryota; Metazoa; Arthropoda; Insecta; Coleoptera; Cerambycidae
Description: tRNA-Asn
Source: RNAcentral